RNAcentral lists this ribosomal RNA (460 nucleotides) under uncultured bacterium. RNAcentral's name for it is "partial 16S ribosomal RNA". It matches the Rfam family "Bacterial small subunit ribosomal RNA", at positions 338 to 795 of the family's 1533-position model. The record is from RNAcentral.
CCUACGGGAGACAGCAGUGAGGAAUAUUGGUCAAUGGGCGCGAGCCUGAACCAGCCAAGUAGCGUGAAGGAUGACUGCCCUACGGGUUGUAAACUUCUUUUAUAAAGGAAUAAAGUGAGGCACGUGUGCCUUUUUGUAUGUACUUUAUGAAUAAGGAUCGGCUAACUCCGUGCCAGCAGCCGCGGUAAUACGGAGGGUCCGUGCGUUAUCCGGAUUUAUUGGGUUUAAAGGGAGCGUAGAUGGGUUGUUAAGUCAGUUGUGAAAGUUUGCGGCUCAACCGUAAAAUUGCAAUUGAUACUGGCAGCCUUGAGUACAGGUGAGGUAGGCGGAAUUCGUGGUGUAGCGGUGAAAUGCUUAGAUAUCACGAAGAACUCCGAUUGCGAAGGCAGCUUACUAGUCUGCCACUGACGUUGAUGCUCGAAAGUGUGGGUAUCAAACAGGAUUAGAUACCCGAGUAGUC